Molecule: long non-coding RNA, 1084 nt
Organism: Terrapene triunguis (Three-toed box turtle)
Lineage: Eukaryota; Metazoa; Chordata; Testudines; Emydidae
Exons: 3
Source: RefSeq, a predicted model, not a curated record
CUUCUAAGGAGACAUGAAUAGUCCUCAUGUUUCUGCCUUCUGCAUCGCUGGCUGUGAGGAAGAGGAUUAGUACCAAGGAAAACGAAGUCACGCGUCAGAGUCUACUGCCCUCAUGCGAUGGAAAGCGAGCGAGAGCGUCGAGACUCUGAGCAUUGUUGAUGCCACGCAAAAGCUGUCCAUCUGGGAGCCGAGGAGACGCCGCUGUCAGUGAGAUAAGUGUCUGGUUUGGUGAGGGCUCUGCUCACGCCCACUAAGUUAGGGCUGGGUUUGUAUGAAAAGGUUCCUGACUAGCUGUCGUUACGAGGGGGAAAAGGUCCCUAUUUUCAGAGGUUGCUCAUUUCUCUGGUCAGGAACGGUGUCUCCUCCGCAGCGCCAGGUUGGAUUCAGGAGGAUGACUCACGGUGGUGAGUUGCUUGCCUCCCUCCCAUGUCUCUCUCUCUCUCUUCUCUAGUGUGUUGGCCAACUUUCUCACUGUCUCGCCUCUCCUCUCCUCUCCUUGUGCCAUCUCCCUUCGUAGGACACGGGCAGGCGUGCUAGGUGUGCAUCCCCAGAGGCCAGAUCUCUGGAGUCGCGGACGAAAAUCAUGCGGGGCAGUGGGUGCGAGAGUGGAGCGGUGACUGUCGGUGUUAACUUGGUCUCUGUUCAUUGAGCGGGGCCGAUGUAGAUGGGACUGGAGAGGGUGCCAGGGCUGAGGGCAAGAUUUCCAGCCCCAAUAGAACUCUGUGUAAUGAUGGUUCUUGCUUGGCUUUAUUAGUUUGCGGAGGAAUCGUCCAGGAGCCCUAGCCGCACAAGAAUAUGGCGGAAGUGGACCUGAGCAGCCUGGACAUCCUUCUAAGGAGACAUGAAUAGUCCUCAUGUUUCUGCCUUCUGCAUCGCUGGCUAUGAGUAAGAGUACCAAGGGAAAUGAAGUCACGCGUCAGAGUCUACCGCCCUCAUGCGAUGGAAAGCGAGUGAGAGUGUCGAGACUCUGAGCAUUGUUGAUGCCACGCAAAAGCCGUCCAUCUGGGAGCCGAGGAGACGCUGCUGUCAGUGAGAUAAGUGUUUGGUUUCAUGAGGGCUCUGCUCACGCCCAACCUGAGUCCAG